GGAGGGACGGAGAAGGUUAGGUAUACCGGGCGUUGGUUGUCCCGGGGAAAGCAGGUAGGCGGAUCCCUUAGGCAAAUCCGGGGGGUCAUUAACGCCGAGCAGCGAGACGAGCCCUUUAGGGCGAAGUUACCGAUACCACGCUUCCAGGAAAAUCUCCUAAGCUUCAGCUCAUGCAGACCGUACCGUAAACCGACACAGGUGGGCAGGAUGAGAAUUCUAAGGCGCUUGAGAGAACUCGGGUGAAGGAACUAGGCAACAUGGCACCGUAACUUCGGGAGAAGGUGCGCCCUUUCUGGUGGCUGCAUGCGCAGCUGAGCUGGGAGGGGCCGCAGUGACCAGGCCGCUGCGACUGUUUAUCAAAAACACAGCACUCUGCAAACACGAAAGUGGACGUAUAGGGUGUGACGCCUGCCCGGUGCUGGAAGGUUAAUUGAUGGGGUCAGCCGCAAGGCGAAGCUCUUGAUCGAAGCCCCAGUAAACGGCGGCCGUAACAAUAACGGUCCUAAGGUAGCGAAAUUCCUUGUCGGGUAAGUUCCGACCUGCACGAAUGGCGUAACGACAGCGGCGCUGUCUCCACCCGAGACUCAGUGAAAUUGAAAUCGCUGUGAAGAUGCAGCGUUCCCGCGGCAAGACGGAAAGACCCCGUGAACCUUUACUAUAGCUUUACACUGAACGUUGAGUUCGUCUGUGUAGGAUAGGUGGGAGCCUAUGAAACCCUGGCGCUAGCUGGGGUGGAGGCAACCUUGAAAUACCACCCUGUCGUGCUUGACGUUCUAACCUGGGCCCGUAAUCCGGGUCGGGGACCGUGUAUGGUGGGUAGUUUGACUGGGGCGGUCUCCUCCCAAAGAGUAACGGAGGAGCACGAAGGUACGCUCAGCGCGGUCGGACAUCGCGCACUGUGUGCAAAGGCAUAAGCGUGCUUGACUGCAAGAUCGACGGAUCAAGCAGGUACGAAAGUAGGUCUUAGUGAUCCGGUGGUUCUGUAUGGAAGGGCCAUCGCUCAACGGAUAAAAGGUACUCCGGGGAUAACAGGCUGAUACCGCCCAAGAGUUCAUAUCGACGGCGGCGUUUGGCACCUCGAUGUCGGCUCAUCACAUCCUGGGGCUGUAGUCGGUCCCAAGGGUAUGGCUGUUCGCCAUUUAAAGUGGUACGCGAGCUGGGUUCAGAACGUCGUGAGACAGUUCGGUCCCUAUCUGUCGUGGGCGUUGGAGAUUUGAGAGGGGCUGCUCCUAGUACGAGAGGACCGGAGUGGACGAACCUCUGGUGUUCCGGUUGUCACGCCAGUGGCAUUGCCGGGUAGCUAUGUUCGGAAGCGAUAACCGCUGAAAGCAUCUAAGCGGGAAGCGCGCCUCAAGAUGAGAUCUCCCGGGACUUUAGUCCCCUGAAGGAACCAUCAAGACUAGGUGGUUGAUAGGCUGGGUGUGUAAGCACAGCAAUGUGUUGAGCUAACCAGUACCAAUGAUCAA
Molecule: ribosomal RNA, 1466 nt
Filed under: metagenome
Description: bacterial LSU rRNA
Rfam family: Bacterial large subunit ribosomal RNA
Source: RNAcentral